CUCGAGGGGCGGGGCCACACCUCCGCCCGUCCCGCCCACCUCCGCUCGCCCCGCCCCAGGUGAGCCCCAAGAGGCGGGGCCGCGCGUCGCUCGCCCCGCCCACCUCCGCUCCACUCGCCCUAGGUGAGUCCCAAGGGGCGGAGCCGCGCGUCGCUCGCCCCGCCCACCUCCGCUCCACACGCCCCAGGUGAGCCCCAAGAGGCGGAGCCGCGCGUCGCUCGCCCCGCCCACCUCCGCUCCACACGCCCCAGCCCAGCCAGGCCCGCAGCGCUCGGGGUAAACUGCCUGAGUCCACCGAGGUCGCCGUCUGGCUCAUACUGGAAAAAGCAGGCACUCCUUGACAGUGCGUAGGACGCCCCCUGCCUGCGAGGCGACCAGAGGCGGCCAAGGCUGCCACCCCGGGACGGCUGGAAAAGAGUUGGCAGAAGGCUGCAGGGUUUGGGGUGAAGGAGACCCCUUCCUGCUGCCAGAUCUUGACGACCCAAGCCCAGCCUGAGGUCCUCCUAACACCACCUCUUGCUCUGCGGCCAGUUUCUCAAGUUUACCCUUGGCAACUGUUUGCAGAUGAGGAUAUUCCCAAGGCGACAUGACUUGAGACGCAUGCGCCACUUACCAAUUGCCUUAGUGCGCUAUAAAUACUCAUUUUUAAAAACCAAAUCUGCAGAACAUAUCUUGUGUUUUUUUCUUUGCUGGCCAGUGUUAAUUCAGUAAAUAUUUGUUGA
Molecule: non-coding RNA, 722 nt
Organism: Peromyscus maniculatus bairdii (prairie deer mouse)
Lineage: Eukaryota; Metazoa; Chordata; Mammalia; Rodentia; Cricetidae
Source: RefSeq, a predicted model, not a curated record